This 23-nucleotide small nuclear RNA is filed under the name Arabidopsis thaliana (thale cress). RNAcentral's name for it is "snRNA_10506". The record is from RNAcentral. Lineage: Eukaryota; Viridiplantae; Streptophyta; Magnoliopsida; Brassicales; Brassicaceae.
CAAAAUUCUUCUCCAACCCUACU